AUCCAGCAGAUGGCGGUAAUGGAUGCCAACCAAUGUAAAAUUCAACAGAAGAAGAAGAAUGCAACACAUCAACACAUCAACGUCAAAGAUUAGCAACUCCGAUAUAACAACUGUGUAUCUCUAAUGUUUUACACUAAAUAUUUGACUACAUUGGAUCGUCUGGACCUUUGUCCGCUCUGAAACUCCGUCGAGGAACGAUGAGAAGGCGUUGCCCCUUGCGACCCCAGCUCCCACUGGGUGGUUGCCACACUGGUGGCCAUGGCCGACAUCGGAGGUUGGGAUGACCAUUUCCUGCGUCAAGCUUUAGCCUUCGUCCUGGAACCCGGGGGGCUCGGCCCCCACCCGGCCCACCUCCCACCGCGCCAGGACCCGGGGUUACACGGGAUUCGAACCAUAUCUGCAACACUCCGUGUCACAGAGGCUUAACCAAGCCGGAACGCAUCCCGCUGCCCCACCGAGCCCCUACGCACUCAGACCUGUUCGGAACUUCUAUUUAUUCUUCACAUCACUGUGGAGAGAAAAUCUGGAAAACAUCAGCAGGAGGAAGCCUGGAUUUGAUCCAGCAACCCCAGGUAUCAGCACCACCAACUUAUCACACUGAGCUGUACCUGAGCUUACUAUGACCUGCUCGGAACUUCUAUUAAUGCUCACAUUAGUCUGAAGAGAAAACUGUGAAAACAUCACCAGGAGGAAACCUGGGUUUGAUCCAGCAACCUCAGCAACCACAUAAGCAUCUUAUCUCACUGAGCUGUACUUGAACUUACUGUGUUCUGCUCGGAACUUCUAUUUAUUGCUCACAUUAGUCUGAAGAGAAAAUUGUGAAAAGAUCUGGAGGGAUUAGCUUGGAUUCAAUCCUUUAACCUCUACUUGAAGGACAGCAUCUUAUCUCACUGAGCUGUCCUUGAGCUUGUAAAGUGUUUUUCGGAACUUCUACUUGUUGUUCACAUUAGUCUGAAGAGAAAACAAAAAAACAUUACCAGUGAACAGCUUGGGUUUGAUCUGUCAACCUCAGCUUUCAGGCCCAGCAUCUUAUUUCACUGAGCUGUUCCCAAGCUUGUUCAAUAGUGCUUGGAACUUCUAUUUGUUGUUUGUUCACAUCACUCUGAAGAGAAAACCAUGAAAAUAUCUAGAGCACUCAGCUUGGUUUUGAUCUGUCAACCUCAUGUCAUUAGGUAGCAUCAACAUCACACUGAGCUACACCUGAGCUUGCUAUAGUGUGGUUGGAACUGCUAUUUAUCACUUACAUUAGUCUGGAAAGAAAGCAGUGAAAAUAUCACAAGAGGAGAACUAGGAUUUGAUCAAUUGACCUCAGAUCAUCAGGUUCCAACAGUAUCACCAACUGAUCUCUCUGAGCUGUACCUCAGCUUGCUGUGCGCUUUUCGAAACUUCUAUUUAUUCUUCUAAUCACUGAGGAGAAAACAGAAAAUCUCCUAAUGGGUGAGCUUGAAUUUGAUCCAGCAACCUCUGACUAGCAAGCAGCAACACCUGAGCUCAAUGAGCUACACCUGAGGCUGGAAAGGAGUUGGUGGAUGUUGUAAUAGUUGUUCACAUGACUGAGGAGAAAACUUUGAAAAAAUUGUCUAAUCAGGUUUUGAACCCACAACCUGAGAGUGCUGAAAAUCAGCAGCUCAGUGCUUCCUCACUGAGCCAUCUAGAGGAUGGUUGAGCUGACGUCUCCUAUUGCUUUUCUCUACAAUAUGGGGGAAAAGAACAUUAUGAUUACCAGACAUCCUCAAAAUCCAACCAUAGGUUUGAACCCUCCACUAUCAAUCAUCAGCCAUCAGCAGCCUCACUCACUGAGCUGCAUCUGAAGUGUACAAUUGUGUUGGUUCAAUCCCUUUCAGUUUAUCAGGGAGCAGUAACUGAUCUCCCUGAGCUACACCUGAGGCUGUGAGUGUGUUGGUUGGAUGUUGUAUUUAUCAUUCUGAUGACCGAGGUGAAAACUGAAAAAACUCCACAGCUUGGAUUGAUCCUGCCACGUCUCACACACACACACAGGAGCCAUAACACCCCCCUCAGCUGCUUAUUCUGCUGAGCUAUACCUGUCUGUUUGUCAUUAUUAAAAAUUUAACCAAAAUUCUGUUGAGCUGACAUGGAUUCCUCUAUCUUGGGCUGUGGGCUGUCUUGUGGAAAGCCUCGCUCCAGACCGACCACGUGGUUCAUUCUUUGGUAUGGACAGCAGGGGGCGCCGCAGCUGCAGGAAAGUCACAGUGAAGUGGAGUGUCAAAAUCAGCAUAAAUGUCAUUUUUCACAGUUAUUGCUCAUAUUAAAAUGGCUCAUUUUCGUUAUCAUG
Long non-coding RNA from Chelmon rostratus (copperband butterflyfish), 2293 nucleotides. RefSeq lists it as uncharacterized. NCBI's taxonomy places the organism in Eukaryota, Metazoa, Chordata, Actinopteri, Chaetodontiformes, Chaetodontidae. The transcript has 3 exons. The record is from RefSeq and is a predicted model, not a curated record.